AGGGAGGAUAUGUGCGGUGUGAGAGAGUGAGGGCGACGGGGAGACUGGUUUUUAGUUGGAAUUGUGCACCCUGUUGGCGUUAAGGCUUUAAAAGCUUGUCAGACCGCUACAAUAUGUGACUCUAAAAUGAAGUUUUUUUUCUUUAAUACAUCGAAAAUACAUAAAGGUUUACAACACAGUUUCAAACAAGGACACACACAGUAAAACAGGUCGCUAACCGUUUUACCCUUUGAGGCCACCGUACUUCCCUGUCCAUAGCACCCUAUUUUAAUUUAAGUGCUAAAGUUUUCCACACAGACGGCUGAGGUGGCAAAUGUUUCAGUGUGCUGAGCUUCACCAGAGCUUCAUGCAUGUCCUGCACAUCAUGAAUCAGUUGUCCAGGAAUCCGAGCAUUCCACCCAGCUAUCACGGCAUGAGGAUCCAUGCGCAGCUUCAAAGAAAUGGGGCUGUGGAGCAUCUGACCCUUUGCAGUGGUUCACGCGGGCCUCGCCAAUCUGCCGCAGGAUGUUCUUGGCAUUGAUGAAGGACGUGCGGUCGCUGAUGUUGUAGACCACCACGAAACCAUCUGCCCACUCCAAUGGCUCCUUCAGGAUGCAACUGGCCUCCGAGUUCUGACAGGGAGAGCAAACGCAGUGUUUGACUAUUCUGACACGACUACACAAUUGUUGCUUUAUGUCAUUCCGAUGCCAGCCAGGAAGUAACACACCCAGGAAGAACACACCCACCCACAGUGUACUUUCUUCCUGAACACAUCCAUUACUGUCAUUACGCACUUACAGUAAUGACAAUCACAAUAUUUACCCUCUUCUUCUUUUUUACUUCUUCAUCUUUUUGUCUUUGUUCUCCUUCUUCUCCUUUCCUUCUUCUCCUCUUUCACCUUCUUUCACUCUUUCUUCAUACCCUACUUUUUUUCCUUUCUUCUUCCCUUCCUUUCCCUCUUUCUUCCACUUAUUGUUUUUAUUCUGUGUUCUUUAUCUCCUCCUUCUCCAUUGUUUUAUUUUUCUCUUCUCACCCCUCUUUCCUAAUCUAUCUCCAUCUUCUUCUCCUUUGUUUUCGUCUUCUCUUUCUUCUUUUUGUGCCUUCUUCUCUUCUUUUUCUACUUCUUCGUUUUCCACAUCUCUCUUCCUUGUUCUCCUUUUCCUUCUUCUUCUCCUUCUUGUAACUCUCUUCUUCUCAUUAUUUGUCUUGUCUCCUUUUGAAUGGUGAAUAGCAAACACUCAGUAUGGCAUUAUCGCCAACAUUUGGAUCAUCUGGCGUAUGCCCCCACCAUUGUACAAUUAUUACAGCUGAAUUUGUUGACUUUUUUCUGACUUGCGUGUAUCCCCUGAUGCAAAUGAAGCAUAAAUUACGCCGUCGUUUUUUUGUUUGGUAGUCAUGCUUCUUCUGUGUCUUCAAAGAGGCUGCUCCUUGCCUCGGGACACUCACGUGAAUAGUUUCAGAUUCCGGACUUGAUGCGGCUGGAGCAUAUGUGUCUGUGUGGAAUGAUGCGGUCCAUCCCAUGUCCACAGCCAGCAGGAUCUGCACUGAGGUUGGAAGCACUUUGGAACAUUUAGCUUUCCUCAUUGGAAAACUUCCUGGGUCUCGUCCACUUGGCAGGUUUUUGCCCACGUUGGUGGACUUUUCACUAAAUUAGCCCUUCUUGAGGCUUGGCGUCCAACUGCAGGACAAUCACUAGGGUGUAACCGUGCAAUAUUCUAUUUCAUGAUUACAAUGCAUCAAGCUGUUGCUGCUGUGUCUUUGCUGCAUGUGAGGAUGUACAAAGACAAUGACACGUUUCUUGGAUGUGUUGUACCUGUGAACAGGGGUCAAACACCUCCAGAUUUAGCUGUCUGCCAUCAAUGGACAGCCGCUUUCGAUACAGUGAACCUGUAGCAGCAAAAACAAAAUAUACAACCCAUAUUGUAAUAUGUAUCAUAAUUGGAAAGUUAACUGUUCCACUGUAGGUCUUUGAGCCCAUAAAAAGGCAUGUAAACAAUGCAAGAAACUCACUGGUGUUGGAGGCAUAUUCUCCGAUGAAGCGUCUGGUCAGGAAGCGAACGAGGACAGCUGGACAAAAUGGAAAAUGACAAAAUGAAGAAUGGCAUCAUUGCAGGUGCAGGCAGUGUGACCAGGCAGGUUUUGGUGUUUUGGUGUUGGGUGUGGGGGGGUGCUUCUGUGGGGAAUGAAUGUGCAGACGGUGCCAAAAGUCGUUGCAAGUCUGCGGGUGAAACUGAAGCCUCACAUGAAAGGCAGCAGGACCUUCCUGGAAGUGUUCCCGAAUGUUUUUUGGCAAGCCGAUGGAUUUUAUUUCCAGUUUACUUUUGGGCCAACUGCAGACAAUCAGUUUUUAUUAGCCACUCAAGUGCUGAAGUCUGCUCGUGACACAGGUCUUGCAUGGUCCUCUGUGGGGGCUUAGAUGGAGACACAUAUGGACACUUCUUUAGAUACACGAUUCUAAUGAGAGCCAAAAACAUGCUAGGUUAAUUGGCGACUCCAAA
Non-coding RNA from Doryrhamphus excisus (bluestripe pipefish), 2477 nucleotides. Lineage: Eukaryota; Metazoa; Chordata; Actinopteri; Syngnathiformes; Syngnathidae. The record is from RefSeq and is a predicted model, not a curated record.